CCUCAUAUAAAUAUUCUCUUUUCGAGCUUACCUAAAAUCCCGUUUUGAAGGGACACAUUUCCAAAAUCACUUAUUGUGAGCCUAACUGGUUAAUACUGGUGGAUAAACUGAACAAGUUAUACAUUUGACAGGGGUUGCAGCCUCAUCCCUAAAUUUCAAGCUAGGUUCACAAUAAAGCGAGCCCUGAAAUCAUGCCAACGAGCCAGCAGAAAUCGUCAAACUGCUCCAAGUGCCGAGAGCCAGCGGAGCUGCUGCUGCUUCUGCUGACAAAGAAGGUAACGUUCAGAAUGAGGUCACUGUGUCAACAUCUCACUCUCAAUGUGAGGCUUCUGUUUGCUCGUUGACAAAAAAUGCAAGGGAAGAGGGUCAGGGGAAUCAUCUGAACUCUGGAGAGAGUGAAGUGGGAGAGGGAGAGAAAGCAACACGAAUAGAAAACAAC
Mauremys mutica (yellowpond turtle) is the source of this 439-nucleotide long non-coding RNA. RefSeq lists it as uncharacterized. The transcript is spliced from 3 exons. NCBI's taxonomy places the organism in Eukaryota, Metazoa, Chordata, Testudines, Geoemydidae. The record is from RefSeq and is a predicted model, not a curated record.